GUGAAUUAAACACUGCUUGGUGUCUUCGCUUCGGCAAGGCCCUUGCUUAAAUCACAUCCUAACACCUGUGAACUGUAAGACGUAUGAUGAGGUCUUUGGCCAAGUCAUCGUCUGCCCAUUUUUAACAAACAAUUAAUGUAACAAACGUAGUCUUAUUAUAACCUAAUA
Molecule: unclassified non-coding RNA, 168 nt
Filed under: soil metagenome
Description: partial internal transcribed spacer 1
Source: RNAcentral